Long non-coding RNA from Piliocolobus tephrosceles (Ugandan red Colobus), 157 nucleotides. RefSeq lists it as uncharacterized. NCBI's taxonomy places the organism in Eukaryota, Metazoa, Chordata, Mammalia, Primates, Cercopithecidae. The record is from RefSeq and is a predicted model, not a curated record. The transcript has 3 exons.
GUUGAGGCCUUGGGACCUGCAGAGGACCCCCAUGCUGCCUCUAACCAGGGCUCUGUAGCCGCAUGGGGCUCCGGCUGCCAUACUGGGAAGUGCUGAUGUGGAGGGACACUGAGGCACAGAGAUUAAGAAACUGACUACAAGGCCGGGCACGGUGGCC